This is a long non-coding RNA of Cavia porcellus (domestic guinea pig), 4023 nucleotides long. RefSeq lists it as uncharacterized. The record is from RefSeq and is a predicted model, not a curated record. The transcript has 4 exons. NCBI's taxonomy places the organism in Eukaryota, Metazoa, Chordata, Mammalia, Rodentia, Caviidae.
CCGAAGAGAAGCUUCCCUGAGCCGGCCACAGCCAUUUCUCAUUAAACCCCCAAUUUAAGCGAGAUCCGGAGUGGAAAAUUGCAAAACAGGAAGCCUGCAAAUUGCAUGAAAGCAAUAUUAUUAGACCUGGGAGUAAAGAUCCUUUAUAAUGCAGACUUUGGGGAUGAGACCUAGAAUCUCUAGGUGGAAUCUAGGGCUUUGUGCGUAGACUCCUAGGAACUGGCUUUUCUUCCUGAAGUCACUAUGGAGUGUCCUGCAGAUACUUGUGCAGUAACCCAAACUUUGAAGAGAUGUAUGCGGACUAAAGAAAAGAAAAAUGUAUCUAAAAAUCUCUGCUGAAUUCAUUCAUUCAUGUGUGUAGAAGCCAGAGUUCCUUGCUUGCUGCUAUGGUGAUCAGAGCCAGGCCCAGGAUGAGACAGCACUUCAUUGGCAGCAACAUCUACACACUUGGGACAGGACUGUGUGUAACAAAAUCAGCAGAGCCCUGUGACAGUAAUGCAAAAAGCAUAUUAUUUUCAUUCUACAAAAUAUUCGUAGCAGCUCUUUGACCUCUUUCCCCCUUAAAGAUUGGGGUGAAAAUGAAAUUGAACAUAUAAGAUUGUGAAAUAUGUAUCCUAUCAGUGAUGUCAGAGAAAGAUCAACCAUGUGUUAAUUGAAAUGGGUUGGCUUUGUGGAACAGAUACAUGGGCUGGCUCUUGAAAUGUAAGUUUUCAACAAGCGGAGAAAAGCAAAAUGCUAUACAGGUGGAAGCAAUAGAUUGAAUAAUCAAGGUGCAAAAAUUCAAGACUUACAAAGGUUUGGUUUGCAAUGGUGGUUUGCAAGAGAAUGGAGGCCCAGAAAGAGGACAAACUGGAGAGGCAGACAGGUCAAGAUAUGAAAGUGUUAGUUUUAUACCACAGAGGCUAUCCUCGCCUCAGCAUUCAUUCCUAAAACGAGAUGCUAUAUACUUACUGGGCCCUCCGCACUGCAGUAAGCACUGGGAAUACCAAUAUAAAAUUAUCAUCUUGGAGAUGAGGAAGAAAUUUACAGAACUAAGACGUUAUAGGUUACACUGCUGAAGUCUGUAUCAGAAACAAUAGGUAAAAGGAGGAUAAAUGAGAACAGCUCUGUAGGGUUUAGGAUAUCUUCAGAAAAAAAAAGUUGGAGAAAUUAGCAUUGCUGGGCCAGGAGCAUGACUGCAGAUACAUCCUGGAAGGAUGGAUCCCCUUCACUGCAGCGUGUGUGGAAAGGGGAGUAAUACACUGUGUGGACACUGCAAGCGUCCCAGAUGGCCGGUCACUGUAUGGAGCACAAACUGCAGAGGUGGAAAGGAAGACAUUGGUGAAGCUGGCUGAUCAUUGAACCAGGAAAAUGGACUUUGGAGUCAAACAGUCCUACAGUUGAAGGUUGGUGCCUCAUUUAGCAGCCUUGGGAACAAGAGCAAGUUAAUUAACCUCUCUGCACCUCAAUUUCCUGAUAUCCAAAAUGAGAACAUGCACACCAUCUCAGAAGUUGGUGAUGAAGACCAAAAGUCAUGGUGGAGGCCAAACCACCCGCGUGAUGCUGACCACAAAGGCACUCAGUGAAGAAGGAUGCCUUUGUACUUGAGUCCACCUCUGGAAGUGAGAUCAAUUACAGACCUGUAUAGUAGCAGAAAAGCUGAUUUCCAAUAAACCAGGAAAGCCAAACUGCUCCAUUGAAGAGAAGGAACUUUUGUUUUGGAUAUAGCUUUAAGGAGAAAAAUGAUUUCUUUUCAAAUUAACUUGAAUAUAUCUAAUAUUCAGAUGCUGGCUAUAACCAUCCUUGAAAUUGUUUCAGAAAAUUCCAGCAGUAACCAAGUAGAAAUUGAGGAAUGACUGUCACACCACUUAUCUGUGAACUUUCUGUUCUGAAACUGACUGUAACUGUUUUGUUUUAUUUCACAGUUUCCCAUUUAGAAUGUGGCUGAGCUAAUGCACUUCACAUAACUGUAUCCUGUGUGGUUUUUAAUUUCUAUUUAAGUACUAAUAUAUUACACAUUUCCUUGCAUUAGAUGUAACCAGUAUAGUUUCAUUAUAUAAAGAUACAAAACAAAUGAUCCACAAAGGCAGCUGCUUCUAAAUAGUUGGGUGACCCUAGACAAUUUCAUUAUUUUCCUGGGCCUUCAGCUGAGAAAAUAGGUUUAAUGAUGCUCACAUUGUUAUGGAAAUUAAUAGUGAGAAGGAUUGUACACAAAUAAAUUAAAAUUAAUUGUUGGUGGAAUGAUGUACACAAAUUUUCUGGCAAAAAUUCUUUUCCCAGUGUCUUGUAGUGAGAUGACAUAAUAGUUUAGAUUCUGAAUAUAGCAUUAUACUUAAAGUGCUUUCUUUGCAUUAACUCAGUCUUCUUAAGAACUCAUUGAAUGAAGAAUUGUGAUUGUGAUUAUUGUGAUUAUUCCUAUUUUAAAGAAGAUGAGACUGAGGCACAGAGCAAUUAAGGAAUUUGCUAAGGUCAUUUACAACAAAGUAGGGUUAAAUUCAUGAAACAGGUCCCAGAGACUGAAAACAUACACUUCUCAUAGCCUUUGUCAAAUUUGUGUUUAUGGGUUCACGACAUAAACACGUUUGGAUGAUUCCAUAUGUCUAUGAUCCAUGAAUCUUUGUACAAAGUGCAGGACAGAAAUUUAAACAUUCUUUUCAUUUGAGUUUCUUUACUCGUACCAAGUCAUAAAAAUGCCUUCCCAACUAUCUUCCCCUACUUUGGUAAAUCUCUUAAUUUAACUAAGAAUGUGAGAAAAACAAAAUCAGUUUUCUAAAUCUCAAAUGAAUUGUUCCACACUCCCGUUGGAGAGGGUCUUGCAUCCCUUCCUAACCCUGGAUUCCAGACGACAAUGAAGGCAUGAUAUUGACAUUGUGUGAUGCUGAUGUUGCAAAUUCCAGUUCCUCCCACUGAAAUAUUGAAUCUGUGUAUAAAUAGGUGUCUCCCUUAUCAUCUUGACUUUCUCAAACAUGAAUAUCCAGGUGUUGAAAACCAGUUCCUCCCCUUGGUUUUCAUAUACAUGUGCCUGCACGCACACACCACACACAUAUUCCCAUUCACAGAGACACACUGCAUGUACUUUACUGUAAUUUACAUGUAACUCACGUGCUUUACUGAAGACUUGGAUAAACAAAGGGAAUUGUAGCAAAUAAAUGUCAAAAAAUUAACACAAUGUAAAAUGAAUGUCACAUAAUUUUUUUCUAUUAAGCAGGGCUGAGCCAGACAGUUCACUCCUCCUCCCAUCCACCUACUCGUAUCCUCACUAGUGAAAAACAUUACACUUUUUGCACAGCAAUUAAGUUCCACCUUCACUCUUUAAUAUCCCUGUAACUUCCCUGAGAACUUCCUGUUUUACUCAUCACCACAGGAAAAAUUCUAAAGCCCGGUGGGCGGGUGGUCUGCUUUCACCCCACUACAUUGUAUCAAUACUGUCUACAACCUUAGUGAGCAAUGCAUGUCUGUAAACAGCUAACCUUUACUCUUAAGGAACAAAUUCUUACAUCCUACCUUAAUUCUCCCUCUUACUUCUGGGGGCAACUGAUUCGAGUCCUUCAUGUAGAAAUCCAGAGGACAAGAUUCACGAACCUGAUCUGAUAAUUCAUUCUAGAGACUUUCAUUCUAGAGAUUCCCUGUUUCUUGGUGAGAAAGCUGUGACCAAGGAGGGGUCUCAGCACCACAGAGGUGGAAAGGAAAAGGGUGCCAGUGUGUGCGUGGUUGGGGAAGUGGGCAGAGCUUUGGUGGCACCUCUGGGUAAUAAAUCAGAGAAAGUAGCAUGCAGGGAAUGACCUGUAGCUUGGCUGGGCAGAUAUUUGUGCACUUCAAGAAUAAUCUAGAAGUUGAGUAUGGUGGUACAUGCUUAUAAUGCCAACAGUCAAGGAGGCUCAGGCAAAAAGAUGGCAAAUUUGAGUCCAGACUGAGCAACUUAGUGAGUCUUUAUCUCAAAAUAAAAGUUAAAAAAUACCCAAGGAUGUAGCUCAGUGCAAAGGCCCUGAGUUAAAUUUUCAGUACAAAAAAAAAAAAAAAAAAGUGAAAGAGAUUUAUUGAAAU